CUAGAUGAAGUUUUUAAAAUAUGUGCUUGUCAAGCGCAAGAGGAGGUAAAUGAACUCCUUCUAGA
Molecule: transfer RNA, 65 nt
Filed under: Bovicola caprae
Lineage: Eukaryota; Metazoa; Arthropoda; Insecta; Psocodea; Bovicoliidae
Description: tRNA-Asp
Source: RNAcentral